RNAcentral lists this ribosomal RNA (441 nucleotides) under uncultured bacterium. Its description in RNAcentral is "partial 16S ribosomal RNA". It matches the Rfam family "Bacterial small subunit ribosomal RNA", at positions 338 to 795 of the family's 1533-position model. The record is from RNAcentral.
CCUACGGGCGGCAGCAGUGGGGAAUAUUGCACAAUGGGGGAAACCCUGAUGCCGCGACGCCGCGUGAGUGAAGAAGUAUUUCGGUAUGUAAAGCUCUAUCAGCAGGAACGAGACAAGACGGUACCUGACUAAGAAGCCCCGGCUAACUACGUGCCAGGAGCCGCGGUACUACGGAGGGGGCCACCGUUAACCGGCAACACUGGGUGUAAAGGGAGCGUAGACGGCUGUGCAAGCCUGAAGGUAAAGGGGGGGGCCCAACCCCUGGACUGCUUUGGGAACUGUACGGCUGGAGUGCAGGAGAGGUAAGUGGAAUUCCUAGUGUAGCGGUGAAAUGCGUAGAUAGUAGGAGGAACACCAGUGGCGAAGGCGGCUUACUGGACUGUAACUGACGUUGAGGCUCGAAAGCGUGGGGAGCAAACAGGAUUAGAUACCCCAGUAGUC